This 324-nucleotide unclassified non-coding RNA is filed under the name Hevea brasiliensis (rubber tree). Lineage: Eukaryota; Viridiplantae; Streptophyta; Magnoliopsida; Malpighiales; Euphorbiaceae. The record is from RNAcentral.
AAACUUUUCCCGCCAACUAUCUUCUUCUUAAACAACUUCUGUUGCACUCUCCCGAUAUCUAAACAGUCUCUAACUUCCUUCUAAUUGUUACUAGGUUUCGUCUAAUACCUAGUCUAAUAUGUAACAAAAUUCCUUUCAAUUUUCCUUAUCACUUGAUUGCUAUUUCACCCAUUUUUAUAAAUUUUAAAGAGUGGAUGAAAUUCCAUCACAUUUGUAUCAUUAUUUUAAUUUGCCAGUAAUCAUUAGUCCAUACCUAUAUUACGUGAUAUCUAAGUUGAAGAUAGUGCUAUCUAUGACUAAUGUAGACAAUCUAAGUGCAUCAAA